AUCUUAGAUCUGGGGAGCCCGUUGGGCUGAGAGGGCACACACAGGUGUGCCGACCCAAAAACCUGAUCCGGUUAGUACCGGCGGAGGAAGUAUCCAUGAAUUCCCUU
This 107-nucleotide non-coding RNA is filed under the name Spirochaetota bacterium. RNAcentral describes it as "Spirochaetes bacterium TPP sequence". It matches the Rfam family "TPP riboswitch aptamer (THI element)". Rfam says of the family: Vitamin B(1) in its active form thiamin pyrophosphate (TPP) is an essential coenzyme that is synthesised by coupling of pyrimidine and thiazole moieties in bacteria. The previously detected thiamin-regulatory element, thi box was extended, resulting in a new, highly conserved RNA secondary structure, the THI element, which is widely distributed in eubacteria and also occurs in some archaea. The record is from RNAcentral. Lineage: Bacteria; Pseudomonadati; Spirochaetota.